CUUUCAACAACGGAUCUCUUGGUUCUGGCAUCGAUGAAGAACGCAGCGAAAUGCGAUAAGUAAUGUGAAUUGCAGAAUUCAGUGAAUCAUCGAAUCUUUGAACGCACAUUGCGCCCCUCGGA
RNAcentral lists this ribosomal RNA (122 nucleotides) under Lepraria normandinoides. Its description in RNAcentral is "5.8S ribosomal RNA". It matches the Rfam family "5.8S ribosomal RNA", at positions 3 to 124 of the family's 154-position model. From Rfam's summary of the family: 5.8S ribosomal RNA (5.8S rRNA) is a component of the large subunit of the eukaryotic ribosome. Lineage: Eukaryota; Fungi; Ascomycota; Lecanoromycetes; Lecanorales; Stereocaulaceae. The record is from RNAcentral. RNAcentral also lists the same sequence under 1 other name.